Molecule: long non-coding RNA, 385 nt
Organism: Hydractinia symbiolongicarpus
Lineage: Eukaryota; Metazoa; Cnidaria; Hydrozoa; Anthoathecata; Hydractiniidae
Exons: 3
Source: RefSeq, a predicted model, not a curated record
UAUUUUUUUUAAAAAGGAUGAAGAAAUUAUUUGAACAAAAUUUCUUGUACCUGACGUGUUACUUGAAAUAACAAUAAUGAAUCUAUGAUUCUUCAUGUUACUUUGGAAUUCGCAUUGUAGAAAAGGGCUGAUUUUAAUACGGUCCUAAAUCUUUAGGCGUAGGAAAUGCAUUCUGGUUUGCUUUGCAUAUGCGUCAUACAACACGCUAGCUGUAGGGUACGACGAAUUCUUUCCACUAUAUGCUGCAACGUCGAAACAAUACGGAGGUUACGAUUUUAACAUUACUCAAAUUGGUACAGCCCUACUCAUUGUUGCUAUGGUAACGAUAACCCUCGAAGUAGCUUUAUUUACCAAGCUAGUCAAAAAAUUUGGAGCAAAACUGGUA